This is a long non-coding RNA of Arabidopsis thaliana (thale cress), 394 nucleotides long. RefSeq annotates it as other RNA. The record is from RefSeq. NCBI's taxonomy places the organism in Eukaryota, Viridiplantae, Streptophyta, Magnoliopsida, Brassicales, Brassicaceae. The transcript has a single exon.
CCAUGAUAUUGCUUCGUUUUGUAAUUCUUUCGCUUCUAUCUCUAUUGCUUAUGUCCCAAAGUCGUCCAAUACUUUAGCCGACUCCUUAGUUAAGUCAGUCCUUGUGGCUUUUACUUCCUCCUCCCCUCCAAGAAUGUAACACUCUCUGUCUUUUAGCAAUGCAAGUUCGGUUUGAACAAAAACAAAUUAUCACAAAAUGCCAAAAAAUGAAAGACAAUUAAUUUAUAAUUAGGCUCAUAAGUCAAAUAGCCAAUAACUUGCCCCAUACCUAAGAUAGUUACUUUAGGCGAAACGACGGAGAAUUUAAGGACAAUUGACUAUAGAAAAGACUCUAUAUUAUACUAUUCACAGUGUCCCAAAUAUAUAUAAAUUGCCUAACACAUUGCCACCGUCG